GUGGGUUGGGGAAGGGAGAGAAAGGUUUGAUUUGAUAGUUGGAAUAACUUUUUCAUAGCCUAUUUUAUCUUGGGGGCAGAUUUUAGAAAAUCCAUUAUGUUACAUAUCUUAAAGGGCAAGAGGUUUUAUUUUUCUUGGUGAGGUUUUUGUUGAUUUUCCAGGCAAGGAAUCAAAAAGUUGGGGAGAAGCCUCUUCUCUCAAUUUCCACAUUCGUGUAGGCAGCUCGAAACAAUGUGCUUCUUGCUGUUCCAGCACUUCUUUAUGCUAUUAAUAACUAUCUAAAGUUCACAAUGCAGGUAAGAUUCCUAUAUAGGUCCUCUUACCAUAUGUUUACGCUUUUAGAUAGCAUGUCUAUCUCUCUUUUUAUCUAUCUGUACAAUAUAAUUUAAUAAUUUUUUUUGAAUAUAGACUUGAUUAUUUUGCAAGCUUUGUAUGUCAAUACCAUGCAUAGAUCAGUGCCUGGAAGUGUUGGCCACCUAGGUUGUCUUUUUUGGGCUAAGAGUCUGGGUGUGUUAGCACUGCAAUGGCAGUAUUCUAGAUGCUCAAUGGCUUAGGUUUGUUGGUUUGGAGAUAGAAUAAUCUGAGUAAAGAGACUGGAUUGCUGCAAAUAGCAAAUGAAAAAGAAAAUAGAGAGAGAGGAGAAAGAUCAACUUGGUAUCACCUUAGGGUUCUUGUGCAUCACACCUAAGUGAUGGGUGCAUCAUGUAUCAAACAAGCAGCUGGGUUUUCCAUCCUUUUUCUUAACUGCUGAAAUAUCAAUAAACUAUAUAUAGGCAUCCACCUAUGCAGCUUUGGGACCAAGUUUCUCAAAGUUAAUUGAGCAUGCAAUUAAAGUGCAUCCAAAAUGGCCCACAAUUGAAGUUAAUUUAUUUUAAAUCUCUAACUUGUGUGACUUUUGCCAUAUGUCUUUAAGUAAGAAUCAUAAGUUGGAUUAUGUAUACUACAUGUGUCCAAAUUUUUUGCAGUUGUUUUGUCUGUUGCAUUCAUUUAGAUACCUAACAUACCAUCCUUUUCAUGUCCCAGUUCUUGGUCAUUUGUUGUUUGUUGGAAGCAUAAAUUGAUAGAUAUGUGCCAGUAUUUAACAGCAUGAUGUUCAUCUCUUAGCAUUGUGUUACCUGUCUUCUGGUAAAUCUGAUUUCUAAUUGAAGGUCUCUAUGAACUUGAUUUUAGAGUGUUUAUUUUUUACCUUCAUCCACUUUGUGAGAUCUAGACUUUUUGAAUUCCACAAUAGGUGUUCAAAUAUUGUUGCAACCCUAAAUU
Molecule: long non-coding RNA, 1260 nt
Organism: Quercus robur (English oak)
Lineage: Eukaryota; Viridiplantae; Streptophyta; Magnoliopsida; Fagales; Fagaceae
Exons: 2
Source: RefSeq, a predicted model, not a curated record